CCUACGGGAGGCAGCAGUGAGGAAUAUUGGUCAAUGGACGAGAGUCUGAACCAGCCAAGUAGCGUGAAGGAUGACUGCCCUAUGGGUUGUAAACUUCUUUUAUAUGGGAAUAAAACGUUCCACGUGUGGGAUUUUGUAUGUACCAUAUGAAUAAGGAUCGGCUAACUCCGUGCCAGCAGCCGCGGUAAUACGGAGGAUCCGAGCGUUAUCCGGAUUUAUUGGGUUUAAAGGGAGCGUAGGUGGAUUGUUAAGUCAGUUGUGAAAGUUUGCGGCUCAACCGUAAAAUUGCAGUUGAAACUGGCAGUCUUGAGUACAGUAGAGGUGGGCGGAAUUCGUGGUGUAGCGGUGAAAUGCUUAGAUAUCACGAAGAACUCCGAUUGCGAAGGCAGUUCACUGGACUGCAACUGACACUGAGGCUCGAAAGUGUGGGUAUCAAACAGGAUUAGAUACCCUUGUAGUU
Molecule: ribosomal RNA, 460 nt
Filed under: uncultured bacterium
Lineage: Bacteria
Description: partial 16S ribosomal RNA
Rfam family: Bacterial small subunit ribosomal RNA
Source: RNAcentral